Molecule: long non-coding RNA, 1528 nt
Organism: Columba livia (rock pigeon)
Lineage: Eukaryota; Metazoa; Chordata; Aves; Columbiformes; Columbidae
Exons: 2
Source: RefSeq, a predicted model, not a curated record
AGGAUUAGUGCUCCACAAAGGGAGGGUAGCAGCAUUAUAGUGAAAUGUAGACUCUCCAUAGGAGGCACCCAUACAUCCCAGCGGUGAGGGGAGGAGAGGAGGGGGAAGGCAUCUGUGGCCCAGCCAAGUUUGCCGAGGGAGACAGAUCGCCCUCACCACUGCCCAGACGCAGGUGUCAAACCUGAAUAGAGCGGGUGGAAAGCGCGGCGUGGGUACCUGCAGUUUGCACUGGAGCCUUGAAGACAAAUGAGACCAGUCAUGUGCCAGCAGCAGUGUGAUGCUGAUGAGAGAGAGGGCCCCCUCCAAAAACCACAGGAGGAGGAAGGCCAACAGCGCUGUGCCCGGGAGCAGAGCUGAGGUUCUGGAUGCGCAGCCCUGACCCCGGUCCACCAGCAGACAUCAAAAAGCCUGGCAGGUUCAGGGGGAACGCAAGCAAUGCGAUAACCAACUUGGAAAAUACCUCUUGCUUAGGAGAGAAAGCUGCCAGAAGAAAAGCCCAGCUCGCCAGCAUUAGCUCUGCCUUCCUUGCAUCAGCUCCACGUCAGCACAAACCCGAGCGAGGGGUGAGAGAUCGAGCUUGCAGGUGCCAGAGGGUUUGUGUUUUCCUCUACUGAAGGAGCCUGUUCUGCAGUUUUUACAAUAAAAUGGAUCAGCAGCCUUACGUCGCAUCACGAUUUGGCUGCGAGUUGAGCCAAACCACUAUUAUCUGCAUAGGCUCAUGGUAUGCCUCCCCUCCCUGCCUGAUAUACAAAUAUACAGCAAGAGUUUUACGGACAAGAUAAUGUUUAUCAGCUGCAUGAAAUGGCUAUGUUCACCCUGUAGGAGAAAAAAUUAAUUUUGCUCUGAAUUCCACUAUAACCAGACAGCUCUCCAUUUAUAUCCUGGAUAAUAAAUCAAAGCAACACGAAGUCUCAUGCAUAGAACUGAAGUGGUUUCUUAAAGCAAAUUUGGCAGGAAAUAAGUUAUCGUCUUAAAAAGCCAGUUCGCUCUCCACAUACAGUACACCACCAACUCUUUGCUAAAAUCUGCAAAUAGGCACGAAAAGUAAUUUUGUGAAAAGCAGAGAAAUCUGUGAGCUCUAAUGAAGCUCUGUGAGAUAGGCCAUAAUAAUCAGUCAUCAAAAUCAUACGUAACUGUCAGAAAAAUCACCCUGUGAGUUCUUUUUGAGUCCCGGGUUUGCAGUGCCCAGGUACUCAAACAUCACAAGGGCAAUUAGUUUGGCUUCACGUAAAAAUAAGGUCAUGCCAGUAUCACAACUUCCCUCUGUACUUUUCCUCUUUCUUCUUGCCUCCUCAACUAAUGUUAUUUUUUCUUUUCCAGCCUUCCUUUCUAGCUUCUCUUUCUGUCGUGAAAACAUGCCACGGAAAAGCGAUGUAAGCAAUGCAUAAUAUAUUUGCAGUAAUGUAUGAUUCAUUUACUAGCUUUCAUAAUUAAUGUGGCUGUGUUUUACAUACACAGUACUUCCUGCAUGCAUUUUAUGAUGUGAACACUCUUCAAAAUCUAAUAAAAUGUAAUCCAUUAAAAACAA